AUUGAACGCUGGCGGCAGGCCUAACACAUGCAAGUCGAACGGUAACAGGAAGAAGCUUGCUUCUUUGCUGACGAGUGGCGGACGGGUGAGUAAUGUCUGGGAAACUGCCUGAUGGAGGGGGAUAACUACUGGAAACGGUAGCUAAUACCGCAUAACGUCGCAAGACAAAAGAGGGGGACCUUCGGGCCUCUUGCCAUCGGAUGUGCCCAGAUGGGAUUAGCUAGUAGGUGGGGUAACGGCUCACCUAGGCGACGAUCCCUAGCUGGUCUGAGAGGAUGACCAGCCACACUGGAACUGAGACACGGUCCAGACUCCUACGGGAGGCAGCAGUGGGGAAUAUUGCACAAUGGGCGCAAGCCUGAUGCAGCCAUGCCGCGUGUAUGAAGAAGGCCUUCGGGUUGUAAAGUACUUUCAGCGGGGAGGAAGGGAGUAAAGUUAAUACCUUUACUCAUUGACGUUACCCGCAGAAGAAGCACCGGCUAACUCCGUG
RNAcentral lists this ribosomal RNA (490 nucleotides) under uncultured bacterium. RNAcentral's name for it is "partial 16S ribosomal RNA". It matches the Rfam family "Bacterial small subunit ribosomal RNA", at positions 30 to 507 of the family's 1533-position model. The record is from RNAcentral.